Molecule: ribosomal RNA, 433 nt
Filed under: uncultured bacterium
Lineage: Bacteria
Description: partial 16S ribosomal RNA
Rfam family: Bacterial small subunit ribosomal RNA
Source: RNAcentral
AACGAACGCUGGCGGCAUGCCUAACACAUGCAAGUCGAACGAGACCUUCGGGUCUAGUGGCGCACGGGUGCGUAACGCGUGGGAACCUGCCCUUAGGUUCGGAAUAACUCCCCUAAAGGGGUGCUAAUACAGGAUAAUGUAUUCGGACAAAAGAUUUAUCGCCUUUGGAUGGGCCCGCGUUGGAUUAGCUAGUUGGUAGGGUAAAAGCCUACCACGGCGACGAUCCAUAGCUGGUCUGAGAGGAUGAUCAGCCACACUGGGACUGAGACACGGCCCAGACUCCUACGGGAGGCAGCAGUGGGGAAUAUUGGACAAUGGGCGAAAGCCUGAUCCAGCAAUGCCGCGUGAGUGAUGAAGGCCUUAGGGUUGUAAAGCUCGUUUACCCGGGAUGAUAAUGACAGUACCGGGAGAAUAAGCGCCGGCUAACUCCGUG